UGGGGAAUAUUGGACAAUGGGGGGAACCUUGAUCCAGCCAUGCCGCGUGUGUGAAGAAGGCCUUAUGGUUGUAAAGCACUUUAAGCGAGGAGGAGGGUACUGGUAUUAAUACUACCAGCUACUGGACGUUACUCGCAGAAUAAGCACCGGCUAACUCUGUGCCAGCAGCCGCGGUAAUACAGAGGGUGCGAGCGUUAAUCGGAUUUACUGGGCGUAAAGCGUGCGUAGGCGGCUAAUUGAGUCGGAUGUGAAAUCCCCGAGCUUAACUUGGGAAUUGCAUUCGAUACUGGUUAGCUAGAGUGUGGGAGAGGAUGGUAGAAUUCCAGGUGUAGCGGUGAAAUGCGUAGAGAUCUGGAGGAAUACCGAUGGCGAAGGCAGCCAUCUGGCCUAACACUGACGCUGAGGUACGAAAGCAUGGGGAGCAAACAGG
RNAcentral lists this ribosomal RNA (430 nucleotides) under Pseudomonadota bacterium. RNAcentral's name for it is "Proteobacteria bacterium partial 16S ribosomal RNA". It matches the Rfam family "Bacterial small subunit ribosomal RNA", at positions 355 to 776 of the family's 1533-position model. The record is from RNAcentral. Lineage: Bacteria; Pseudomonadati; Pseudomonadota.